RNAcentral lists this unclassified non-coding RNA (24 nucleotides) under Chlamydomonas reinhardtii. RNAcentral describes it as "small RNA Cre_1831". The record is from RNAcentral. Lineage: Eukaryota; Viridiplantae; Chlorophyta; Chlorophyceae; Chlamydomonadales; Chlamydomonadaceae.
GGAUGCGUCCGGUUCACCGACGCA